UACGUAGGUGGCGAGCGUUGUCCGGAUUUACUGGGCGUAAAGGGAGCGUAGGCGGAUUUUUAAGUGAGAUGUGAAAUACUCGGGCUCAACUUGAGUGCUGCAUUUCAAACUGGAAGUCUAGAGUGCAGGAGAGGAGAAUGGAGUUCCUAGUGUAGCGGUGAAAUGCGUAGAGAUUAGGAAGAACACCAGUGGCGAAGGCGAUUCUCUGGACUGUAACUGACGCUGAGGCUCGAAAGCGUGGGGAGCAAACAGG
RNAcentral lists this ribosomal RNA (253 nucleotides) under uncultured bacterium. RNAcentral's name for it is "partial 16S ribosomal RNA". It matches the Rfam family "Bacterial small subunit ribosomal RNA", at positions 524 to 776 of the family's 1533-position model. The record is from RNAcentral.